AUACGGAGGAUCCGAGCGUUAUCCGGAUUUAUUGGGUUUAAAGGGUGCGCAGGCGGCCAUUUAAGUCAGCGGUUAAAUCGUGGGGCUCAACCCCAUUCUGCCGUUGAUACUGGGUGGCUUGAUUGCGGUCGAGGUUGGCGGAAUUCGUUGUGUAGCGGUGAAAUGCAUAGAUAUGACGAAGAACAACGAUUGCGUAGGCAGCUGACCAGACCGCAAAUGACGCGCAUGCACGAAAGUGCGGGGAUCGAACAGGAUUAGAUACCCUGGUAGUCCGCACAGUAAACGAUGAAUACUUGGUUUCGGCGAUAUAAUGUCGGAGGCAAAGCGAAAGCGAUAAGUAUUCCACCUGGGGAGUACGCCGGCAACGGUGAAACUCAAAUGAAUUGACGGGG
This 392-nucleotide ribosomal RNA is filed under the name uncultured bacterium. RNAcentral describes it as "partial 16S ribosomal RNA". It matches the Rfam family "Bacterial small subunit ribosomal RNA", at positions 523 to 918 of the family's 1533-position model. The record is from RNAcentral.